AGACCCGAAACCCGGUGAUCUAGCCAUGGGCAGGUUGAAGGUUGGGUAACACUAACUGGAGGACCGAACCGACUAAUGUUGAAAAAUUAGCGGAUGACCUGUGGCUGGGGGUGAAAGGCCAAUCAAACCGGGAGAUAGCUGGUUCUCCCCGAAAGCUAUUUAGGUAGCGCCUCGUGAAUUCAUCUCCGGGGGUAGAGCACUGUUUCGGCUAGGGGGCCAUCCCGGCUUACCAACCCGAUGCAAACUGCGAAUACCGGAGAAUGUUAUCACGGGAGACACACGGCGGGUGCUAACGUCCGUCGUGAAGAGGGAAACAACCCAGACCGCCAGCUAAGGUCCCAAAGUCAUGGUUAAGUGGGAAACGAUGUGGGAAGGCCCAGACAGCCAGGAUGUUGGCUUAGAAGCAGCCAUCAUUUAAAGAAAGCGUAAUAGCUCACUGGUCGAGUCGGCCUGCGCGGAAGAUGUAACGGGGCUAAACCAUGCACCGAAGCUGCGGCAGCGACGCUGAUGCGUUGUUGGGUAGGGGAGCGUUCUGUAAGCCUGCGAAGGUGGCCUGUGAGGGUUGCUGGAGGUAUCAGAAGUGCGAAUGCUGACAUAAGUAACGAUAAAGCGGGUGAAAAGCCCGCUCGCCGGAAGACCAAGGGUUCCUGUCCAACGUUAAUCGGGGCAGGGUGAGUCGACCCCUAAGGCGAGGCCGAAAGGCGUAGUCGAUGGGAAACGGGUUAAUAUUCCCGUACUUGGUGUUACUGCGAAGGGGGGACGGAGAAGGCUAUGUUGGCCGGGCGACGGUUGUCCCGGUUUAAGCGUGUAGGUGUGUGUUCCAGGUAAAUCCGGUUCACUUUAACACUGAGGCGUGAUGACGAGGCACUACGGUGCUGAAGCAACAAAUGCCCUGCUUCCAGGAAAAGCCUCUAAGCAUCAGGUAACAUCAAAUCGUACCCCAAACCGACACAGGUGGUCAGGUAGAGAAUACCAAGGCGCUUGAGAGA
This 989-nucleotide ribosomal RNA is filed under the name Salmonella enterica subsp. enterica serovar Chester. Its description in RNAcentral is "partial 23S ribosomal RNA". It matches the Rfam family "Bacterial large subunit ribosomal RNA", at positions 711 to 1697 of the family's 2925-position model. Lineage: Bacteria; Pseudomonadati; Pseudomonadota; Gammaproteobacteria; Enterobacterales; Enterobacteriaceae. The record is from RNAcentral.